Molecule: ribosomal RNA, 723 nt
Filed under: Aestuariivivens insulae
Lineage: Bacteria; Pseudomonadati; Bacteroidota; Flavobacteriia; Flavobacteriales; Flavobacteriaceae
Description: bacterial SSU rRNA
Rfam family: Bacterial small subunit ribosomal RNA
Source: RNAcentral
CCCCAUGGCACCACACCACUGCAUGGUGGCGUGGUUAAAGGUUACGGUAAGAGAUGGGCAUGCGUCCUAUUAGCUGGAUGGUGUGGUAACGGCACACCAUGGCAACGAUAGGUAGGGGCCCUGAGAGGGGGAUCCCCCACACUGGUACUGAGACACGGACCAGACUCCUACGGGAGGCAGCAGUGAGGAAUAUUGGACAAUGGGCGGAAGCCUGAUCCAGCCAUGCCGCGUGCAGGAAGACUGCCCUAUGGGUUGUAAACUGCUUUUAUACGGGAAGAAACCGCCCUACGUGUAGGGCUCUGACGGUACCGUAAGAAUAAGGAUCGGCUAACUCCGUGCCAGCAGCCGCGGUAAUACGGAGGAUCCAAGCGUUAUCCGGAAUCAUUGGGUUUAAAGGGUCCGUAGGUGGAAGGUUAAGUCAGAGGUGAAAUCCUGCAGCUCAACUGUAGAAUUGCCUUUGAUACUGGCUUUCUUGAAUUACUGUGAAGUAGCUAGAAUAUGUAGUGUAGCGGUGAAAUGCAUAGAUAUUACAUAGAAUACCGAUUGCGAAGGCAGGUUACUAACAGUACAUUGACACUGAUGGACGAAAGCGUGGGUAGCGAACGGGAUUAGAUACCCCGGUAGUCCACGCCGUAAACGAUGGAUACUAGCUGUCCGGCUUCGGCUGGGUGGCUAAGCGAAAGUGAUAAGUAUCCCACCUGGGGAGUACGUUCGCAAGAAUGA